AUUGAACGCUGGCGGCAUGCCUUACACAUGCAAGUCGAACGGCAGCACGGGAGCAAUCCUGGUGGCGAGUGGCGAACGGGUGAGUAAAGUAUCGGAACGUGCACAGUCGUGGGGGAUAACGUAGCGAAAGUUACGCUAAUACCGCAUACGAUCUAUGGAUGAAAGCGGGGGAUCGCAAGACCUCGCGCGAUUGGAGCGGCCGAUAUCAGAUUAGGUAGUUGGUGGGGUAAAGGCUCACCAAGCCGACGAUCUGUAGCUGGUCUGAGAGGACGACCACCCACACUGGGACUGAGAGACGGCCCAGACGCCUACGGGAGGCAGCGGGGAGGUAUUUUGUACAAUGGGCGAAAGCCUGAUCCAGCCAUGCCGCGUGCAGUAUGCAGGCCUGAGGGUUGUAGACUGCUUUUGUACGGAACGAAAAGGUUUGGCCUAAUAAGCUGGGCUCAUGACGGUACCGUAAGAAUAAGCACCGGCUAACUACGUGCCAGCCGCCGCCGUAA
RNAcentral lists this ribosomal RNA (500 nucleotides) under uncultured bacterium. RNAcentral describes it as "partial 16S ribosomal RNA". It matches the Rfam family "Bacterial small subunit ribosomal RNA", at positions 30 to 523 of the family's 1533-position model. The record is from RNAcentral.